UGUCUCAAGUGUUCCGCCUCAGGCUGGGCCUGUGUCCCCUUCGUCUCCAGCGGAAGGCGUGUGUGGUAGAAAAGGAAAAGCCAACGCGCGUUCGUUCGUGUCGCCGGCGGCUACGAGGAUUUUGGGGUCCGUUAGACCCGCCGAAGGGAGGGAGAGAAGGAGCCGGCGGCGGAGGAGGGGUUUAGGUCGGGGAGAGGAGGAGGGAGGCCGGCGGCGGAGGGGAAGGCGGGCUAAACGUUCGCCGCCUACUCGCGCGUCCGCCUGGGGUCUAAGCGGGGAGAGGGGUGUCGCGUCAGGCUCCGACUACGGCCCCGUCUGCCCAUGGUCAAGGCCGACCAAAGGAUGUUGUAUGAGCGGGUCCAAAUACACUUCUCGCGUAAAAAAGGGGUAAGAGGUAGGCGCAGAGAAUUCACCUUUCGAGCAAGUUUUCGGCAAGAUUGUCUUGAAUUCUCAAAAUUACGACUGGAGUACACGUAUGUCCUCAACCUACUUAUACUCUGUAAGAUAUCCUUUUUGUACCUUUCAUGACCUAUAAGUUCAUAAAUACAGGUCGCUAGACCCCUGUUUGCCCUACCUACACCAUAUAAAAUAUUUGGUUUUUCACACCUUGACAAUGUCUUCCUUCAUUAUGUAAUGUUACUGAACCACCUUUGUACAGUAGAAUUACUAUUACAUUAAUCACGAGGGAGCUUAUUAAGAAGUGGUAGUCUUCUUAGAUCACCUUUCCUUCUAUUAUUCUUUGCACCUCUAGGUUUACUAGGUGCACACUCUAACUUCGCACUGACACAACCAAAUGAACGACGAAAGUUCGAACCGCUAGGAACACUCGUAUAAGAUUAACACCGCUUGUGUGUAUAAAUAACCCUAGGUCUUACCUAACUACACUUCAACCGAGUUCGUUUCAUAGAAGAAAGUUUUCAGAGACUCAAACUCUUUUAAUAGCGUUUAUUCAAGUGGACAUUUGGAAGACACUAGUAACGACCACUAAAAUUGAGGUGGGGACCACUAUUCCAUAUGUUAAUGGAACAUAGUCGAUCGAGGCUUAGAUGCCUGCUUCGGGACUAGUUUAACGUGUCGGACAUACGACUCUUGCCUCCCCUCGGCCUCAAGUGUUUAACGUGAGGUCCAAAAUGACCUUGUAACCUGAUGUAUAAGGACAGCCUUCCGCCAAGUCAUUUUGGAUGAUCGGAUGAAGCCUAGGGUGCUCCCCCAAGGGGCCUACACCUUCCUCCGGACGGGUUGAAGGUGGUAGGAUCACUAGUGAACGGUUAGCCACGGCUAAAGGUCCAUGAAUCGUCGAUCGAUCGAUCACGGAUCCCGCCGGCCAACGUAAAAAGCUGACACCGCCGUUUACCGGGAGCUUGACAACCGGUACCAGACGCACGUCAGAUCCAAUUAGUAUUCCGACCCCACGUACGUUACUGUAGAGUGUCGGUGUAAAAGACCAGCAAGAAGUCUUCGUUAAACAGUUAACUAUUACCACAUGAAACAAAGGAAAACACGCACGCACUACCAUACUUACACUUCUUUGUACGCGGAAAACCAUAAGCCGGUUUCUCGCAAAUGUGUGUUCUAAACGUUCAUUCGUCGACAUGAUUUAGU
RNAcentral lists this ribosomal RNA (1602 nucleotides) under Triticum aestivum (bread wheat). RNAcentral describes it as "partial small subunit ribosomal RNA". The record is from RNAcentral. Lineage: Eukaryota; Viridiplantae; Streptophyta; Magnoliopsida; Poales; Poaceae.